ACGGGAGGCAGCAGUAAGGAAUCUUGCACAAUGGGGGAAACCCUGAUGCAGCAACGCCGCGUGAACGAUGAAGGCCUUAGGGUUGUAAAGUUCUGAUCUGGGGGAAGAAGAAGUGACGGUACCCCAGGAGAAAGCCCCGGCUAAAUACGUGCCAGCAGCCGCGGUAAUACGUAUGGGGCAAGCGUUAUCCGGAAUUAUUGGGCGUAAAGAGUGCGUAGGUGGUUACCUAAGCGCAAGGUUUAAUCUUGAGGCUCAACCUCAUUCUGCCUUGCGAACUGGGCUACUUGAGUGCAGGAGGGGAAAGCGGAAUUCCCAGUGUAGCGGUGAAAUGCGUAGAUAUUGGGAAGAACACCGGUGGCGAAGGCGGCUUUCUGGACUGUAACUGACACUGAGGCACGAAAGCGUGGGGAGCAAACAGGAUUAGAUACCCUGGUA
Molecule: ribosomal RNA, 435 nt
Filed under: uncultured Mogibacterium sp.
Lineage: Bacteria; Bacillati; Bacillota; Clostridia; Peptostreptococcales; Anaerovoracaceae
Description: partial 16S ribosomal RNA
Rfam family: Bacterial small subunit ribosomal RNA
Source: RNAcentral